ACGAACGCUGGCGGCAGGCUUAACACAUGCAAGUCGAGCGCCUCGCAAGAGGAGCGGCAGACGGGUGAGUAACGCGUGGGAAUCUACCCAUCUCUACGGAACAACUCCGGGAAACUGGAGCUAAUACCGUAUACGUCCUUUUGGAGAAAGAUUUAUCGGAGAUGGAUGAGCCCGCGUUGGAUUAGCUAGUUGGUGGGGUAAUGGCCUACCAAGGCGACGAUCCAUAGCUG
RNAcentral lists this ribosomal RNA (230 nucleotides) under Mesorhizobium sp. ISOM441_OTU34. Its description in RNAcentral is "partial 16S ribosomal RNA". It matches the Rfam family "Bacterial small subunit ribosomal RNA", at positions 29 to 289 of the family's 1533-position model. The record is from RNAcentral. Lineage: Bacteria; Pseudomonadati; Pseudomonadota; Alphaproteobacteria; Hyphomicrobiales; Phyllobacteriaceae.